GACGUAGGGCGCGAGCGUUGUCCGGAUUUAUUGGGCGUAAAGAGCUCGUAGGCGGCUUGUCGCGUCGACCGUGAAAACUUGGGGCUCAACCCCAAGCCUGCGGUCGAUACGGGCAGGCUAGAGUUCGGUAGGGGAGACUGGAAUUCCUGGUGUAGCGGUGAAAUGCGUAGAUAUCUGGAGGAACACCGGUGGCGAAGGCGGCAUCCUGGACCGGUAUUGACGCUGAGGCGCGAAAGCCAGGGGAGCAAACGGG
This 253-nucleotide ribosomal RNA is filed under the name uncultured bacterium. RNAcentral's name for it is "partial 16S ribosomal RNA". It matches the Rfam family "Bacterial small subunit ribosomal RNA", at positions 524 to 776 of the family's 1533-position model. The record is from RNAcentral.